RNAcentral lists this ribosomal RNA (375 nucleotides) under uncultured organism. RNAcentral's name for it is "partial 16S ribosomal RNA". It matches the Rfam family "Bacterial small subunit ribosomal RNA", at positions 527 to 896 of the family's 1533-position model. The record is from RNAcentral.
GUAGGUGGCAAGCGUUGUCCGGGAAUUAUUGGGGCGUAAAGCGCGCGCAGGCGGUUCUUUAAGUCUGAUGUGAAAGCCCACGGGCUCAACCGUGGAGGGUCAUUGGAAACUGGAGAACUUGAGUACAGAAGAGGAAAGCGGAAUUCCACGUGUAGCGGUGACAUGCGUAGAGAUGUGGAGGAACACCAGUGGCGAAGGCGGCUUUCUGGUCUGUAACUGACGCUGAGGCGCGAAAGCGUGGGGAGCAAACAGGAUUAGAUACCCUGGUAGUCCACGCCGUAAACGAUGAGUGCUAAGUGUUAGGGGGUUUCCGCCCCUUAGUGCUGCAGCUAACGCAUUAAGCACUCCGCCUGGGGAGUACGGCCGCAAAGGCUG